ACGAACGCUGGCGGCGUGCUUAACCCAUGCAAGUCGAACGGAAAGGCCCUGCUUUUGCGGGGUGCUCGAGUGGCGAACGGGUGAGUAACACGUGAGUAACCUGCCCUUGACUUUGGGAUAACUUCAGGAAACUGGGGCUAAUACCGGAUAGGAGCUCCUGCUGCAUGGUGGGGGUUGGAAAGUUUCGGCGGUUGGGGAUGGACUCGCGGCUUAUCAGCUUGUUGGUGGGGUAGUGGCUUACCAAGGCUUUGACGGGUAGCCGGCCUGAGAGGGUGACCGGCCACAUUGGGACUGAGAUACGGCCCAGACUCCUACGGGAGGCAGCAGUGGGGAAUAUUGCACAAUGGGCGGAAGCCUGAUGCAGCAACGCCGCGUGCGGGAUGACGGCCUUCGGGUUGUAAACCGCUUUCGCCUGUGACGAAGCGUGAGUGACGGUAAUGGGUAAAGAAGCACCGGCUAACUACGUG
Molecule: ribosomal RNA, 467 nt
Filed under: uncultured bacterium
Lineage: Bacteria
Description: partial 16S ribosomal RNA
Rfam family: Bacterial small subunit ribosomal RNA
Source: RNAcentral